Dama dama (fallow deer) is the source of this 491-nucleotide long non-coding RNA. RefSeq lists it as uncharacterized. The record is from RefSeq and is a predicted model, not a curated record. The transcript is spliced from 3 exons. Lineage: Eukaryota; Metazoa; Chordata; Mammalia; Artiodactyla; Cervidae.
GAAGUGGAGACUGAAAUCAGAGUGACUCACAGGGAGACUAUGACAAUCGUCCCAAAUCAGGACUGGCUGCGUGGCUGGGGAGGAAACCAGAACUAAACUAGAAGGAGGCAGGUUGUGACUCAGAUGGAAAUAGAACUAACAAACUUGGUGGUCAAGAGGACAGGAAGUCACCUUUCAAGGAAGGAAAGGAAUGUGUACACGAAGAUAUCAAAUUCUCAAAAAGAGCAAGUCUGUUGAGCCAUCACCAUCCCUGUUUGGACAGUGUUUCCUGCACCAGGACACCUCCUAAACUUCUGACCAGUCUGGAGAUUGAUUGCACUGGGGUCAGGUGCUAAGUGCUCUAAAGAGUUGCCACCAAAAGAAGUUAAGUUCUGGCAUAAACAUGGUGAAGGAGCUGCUAUGAAUGAGGGUGUGGCCAAUGUUUCCGCUUUCCUUUUGCUGAGGAGAGCAAUUUUUCUCCUACUAAUAGGAUUCUUUAGUGGUGAUCAAUA